AUACCUUUCUCGGCCUUUUGGCUAAGAUCAAGUGUAGUAUCUGUUCUUAUCAGUUUAAUAUCUGAUAUGUGGACCAUGUGUCCACAACGAUAUUAAAUUUAUUUUUCGUGGGGGUGGGCCCAUCACAGUAGCAUGCGUCGUCUGGGCGUUGCACUGCUGCCCUGGCCCGGCGCACCCCAA
RNAcentral lists this small nuclear RNA (180 nucleotides) under Triticum aestivum (bread wheat). Its description in RNAcentral is "snRNA U2". It matches the Rfam family "U2 spliceosomal RNA". From Rfam's summary of the family: U2 is a small nuclear RNA (snRNA) component of the spliceosome (involved in pre-mRNA splicing). The record is from Rfam by way of RNAcentral. Lineage: Eukaryota; Viridiplantae; Streptophyta; Magnoliopsida; Poales; Poaceae.